CCAGGGUCAGUUCCAGGGUCAGUUCCAGGGUCAGUUCCAGGGUCAGUUCCAGGGUCAGUUCCAGGGUCAGGGUAUGUUCCAGGGUCAGUUCCAGUUCCAGGGUCUUAUCCAGGGUCAGUUCCAGUUCCAGGAUCAGUUCCAGGGUCAGUUCCAGGGUCAGUUCCAGUUUCAGGGUCAGUUCCAGGUUCAGAUCCAGUUCCAGGGUCAGUUCCAGGGUCAGUUCCAGGAUCAUUUCUAGUUCCAUGGUCAGUUCCAGUUUCAGUUCCAGGAUCAGUUCCAGGGUCAGUUCCAGUGUCAGUUCCAGGAUCAGUUCCAGGGUCAGUUCCAGGGUCAGUUCCAGUUCCAGGGUCAGUUCCAGUUCCAGGGUCAGUUCCAGGGUCAGUUCCAGGGUCAGUUCCAGUUCCAGGGUCAGUUCCAGGGUCAGAUCCAGUUCCAGGGUCAGUUCCAGGGUCAGUUCCAGGAUCAUUUCUUGUUCCAGGGUCAGUUCCAGGUCAGUUCCAGGGUGAGUUCCAGUUUCAGGGUCAGUUCCGGUGUCAGAUCCAGUUCCAGGAUCAGUUCCAGGGUCAGUUCCAGGAUCAUGUCUUGUUCCAGGGUCAGUUCCAGGGUCAGUUUCAGGGUCAGUUCCAUGGUCAGUUCCAGUUUCAGUUCCAGGGUCAGUUCCAGGGUCAGUUCCAGGGUCAUUUCUUGUUCCAGUGUCAGUUCCAGGGUCAGUUCCAGGGUCAGUUCCAGGAUCAUUUCUUGUUCCAGGGUCAGUACCAGGGUCAGUUCCAGGGUCAGUUCCAGGGUCAGUUCCAGAAUCAGUUCCAGGGUCAGUUCCAGGGUCAGUUCCAGUUUCAGGGUGAGUUCCAGGAUCAGUUCCAGGAUCAGUUCCAGGGUCAGUUCCAGGAUCAUUUCCAGGAUCAGUUCCAGUUCCAGGGUCAGUUCCAGGACCAGUUCCAGGAUCAGUUCCAGUUCCAGGGUCAGUUCCAGGGUCAGUUCCAGGAUCAGUUCCAGGGUUCCAGGAUCAGAUAAUUCAUAAAUAUCCAAAUAACUUCACACAUCUUCAUUGACGGUAGGCAAUUAAGGUCACAGGUAUGAAAACGUAGGACACUAAAGAGGCCUUUCUACUGACUCUGAAAAACACCAAAAGAAAGAUGCCCAGGGUCCCUGCUCAUCUGCGUGAACAUUCCUUAGGCAUGCUGCAAGGAGGCAUGAGGACUGUAGAUGUGGCCAGGGCAAUAAAUUGCAAUGUCUGUACUGUGAGACGCCUAAGACAGUGCUACAGGGAGACAGGACGGACAGCUGAUCGUCCUCGCAGUGGCAGACCACAUGUAACAACACAUGCACAGGAUCGGUACAUCCGAAUAUCACACCUGCGAGACAGGUACAGGAUGGCACCAACAACUGCACGAGUUACACCAGGAACACACAAUCCCUCCAUCAGUGCUCAGACUGUCCACAAUAGGCUGAGAGAGGCUGAACUGGGGGCUUGUAGGCCUGUUGUAAGGCAGGUCCUCACUACACAUCACCGGCAACAACGUCGCCUAUGGGCACAAACCCACACUUUUAAAAAAACUGAAUAAAAGUGCUCAAAAUAGCCCAUGUUAGCGUAUGUAGCUUAAGAAACAAGGUUAAUGAAAUGAAUAACUUGCUAGUAACAAAUGACAUUCAUAUUCUGACCAUCUCUGAAACUCACUAAGACAAUACCUUUGAUGAUACUGUGGUAGCAAUGCAAUGUUAUACAGAAAAGAUGGAAAUGUCAGUGGUGUUUAUAUUUAGAACCACAUUCCUGUAAAGAUUAGAGAGGAUCUCAUGUUAAAUCCUAUUGAAGUAAUAUGGCUACAGGUUCAUAUGCCUCACCUAAAGCCCAUUCUUGUGGGAAUCUGCUAUAGACAUUAUUUAUUUAGAAAUGUAUUUAUAAAACCCUCCUAGGGCUCACUCCCCCCAUCUGAGAUGUCUACUGCAGCCCUCAUCCUCCACAUACAACACCCAUUCUGCCAGUCACAUUCCAAAGCAUAUCCCUGGGUUGCUCGUCUUUUCAGUUUACUGGAGCUAGUGACUGGAACGAGCUGCAACAAACUCUCAAACUGGACAGUUUUAUCUCAAUCUCUUCAUUCAAAGAUUCAGUCAUGGACACUCUUACUGACAGUUGUGGCUGCUUUGCGUGAUGUACAGUUGUUGCUCCUUUAAAAGUUGUGUCAUACUGCAGCACACCGUGCGGGCUGCUGCAGCAAUCUGUGGCACAUUAUCUAAUUGUCAGCCAUUUUUUCUGUUAAUGCAAGUUAGUCCUAGUUUGACCACCAGAGGGCAUCUUUGAGAAGCAUUUGAUAGUCUUCCAUAUUGGCAUUACCAGAGAAUGUAAAACCUUUUUUGUAAUAACAUAGUAUAUGGGAUUGAUUUUAAGAAUUUUGGCUUAAUUAAUUUGAUUAAUACACUGCUCAAAAAAAUAAAGGGACACUUAAACAACACAUCCUAGAUCUGAAUGAAAGAAAUAAUUUUAUUAAAUACUUUUUUCUUUACAUAGUUGAAUGUGCUGACAACAAAAUCACACAAAAAUAAUCAAUGGAAAUCCAAUUUAUCAACCCAUGGAGGUCUGGAUUUGGAGUCACACUCAAAAUUAAAGUGGAAAACCACACUACAGGCUGAUCCAACUUUGAUGUAAUGUCCUUAAAACAAGUCAAAAUGAGGCUCAGUAGUGUGUGUGGCCUCCAAGUGCCUUUAUGACCUCCCUACAAUGCCUGGGCAUGCUCCUGAUGAGGUGGCGGAUGGUCUCCUGAGGGAUCUCCUCCCAGACCUGGACUAAUGCAUCCACCAACUCCUGGACAGUCUGUGGUGAAACGUAGCGUUGGUGGAUGGAGCGAGACAUGAGGUCCCAGAUGUGCUCAAUUGGAUUCAGGUCUGGGGAACGGGCGGGCCAGUCCAUAGCAUCAAUGCCUUCCUCUUGCAGGAACUGCUGACACACUCCAGCCACAUGAGGUCUAGCAUUGUCUUGCAUUAGGAGGAACCCAGGGCCAACCGCACCAGCAUAUGGUCUCACAAGGGGUCUGAGGAUCUCAUCUCGGUACCUAAUGGCAGUCAGGCUACCUCUGGCGAGCACAUGGAGGGCUGUGCGGCCCCCCAAGGAAAUGCCACCCCACACCAUGACUGACCCACCGCCAAACCAGUCAUGCUGGAGGAUGUUGCAGGCAGCAGAACGUUCUCCACGGCGUCUCCAGACUCUGUCACAUCUGUCACGUGCUCUGUGUGAACCUGCUUUCAUCUGUGAAGAGCACAGGGCGCCAGUGGCGAAUUUGCCAAUCUUGGUGUUCUCUGGCAAAUGCCAAACGUUCUGCACGGUGUUGGGCUGUAAGCACAACCCUCACCUGUGGACGUCGGGCCCUCAUACCACCCUCAUGGAGUCUGUUUCUGACCGUUUGAGCAGACAGAUGCACAUUUGUGGCCUGCUGGAGGUCAUUUUGCAGGGCUCUGGCAGUGCUCCUCCUGCUCCUCCUUGCACAAAGGCGGAGGUAGCGGUCCUGCUGCUGGGUUGUUGCCCUCCUACGGCCUCCUCCACGUCUCCUGAUGUACUGGCCUGUCUCCUGGUAGCGCCUCCAUGCUCUGGACACUACGCUGACAGACACAGCAAACCUUCUUGCCACAGCUCGCAUUGAUGUGCCAUCCUGGAUGAGCUGCACUACCUGAGCCACUUGUAUGGGUUGUAGACUCCGUCUCAUGCUACCACUAGAGUGAAAGCACCGCCAGCAUUCAAAAGUGACCAAAACAUCAGCCAGGAAGCAUAGGAAUUGAGAAGUGGUCUAUGGUCACCACCUGCAGAACCACUCCUUUAUUGGGGGUGUCUUGCUUAUUGCCUAUAAUU
RNAcentral lists this long non-coding RNA (3835 nucleotides) under Salmo salar (Atlantic salmon). RNAcentral describes it as "lncRNA (ENSSSAG00000096730.1)". The record is from RNAcentral. Lineage: Eukaryota; Metazoa; Chordata; Actinopteri; Salmoniformes; Salmonidae.